This 214-nucleotide non-coding RNA is filed under the name Clostridia bacterium. RNAcentral describes it as "6S RNA". It matches the Rfam family "6S / SsrS RNA". From Rfam's summary of the family: E. coli 6S RNA was the first non coding RNA to be sequenced, but its function was unknown until recently. Lineage: Bacteria; Bacillati; Bacillota; Clostridia. The record is from RNAcentral.
CUUAUCCUGCCCGGUGCGUGCGGUUGAAUGACCCACUCGCCCUAUGUAAAAACCCACAAGAGAGAAAGGGAGCUCAUAUUCCAAAGUGGUGUGCAGGCCUCCCGCCUUGCCUUUCUGCGAGGCGGACGUUGGAAGUACUGAAGCGUUGGAGAGAGCACCCACCUGCACAGAGCAGGGUUUCUUCUCAUGGGGGCACGGCCGUGGCGGGGCUUAA